GCCUUCAAAAAAAAACUGAAACAGACCCUUAAACUCUCUCUCCUUCCUCCAUUUUCUCAUUUCGGCUAGGGUUUCAACACCCAUCAUUGCCGCCAUUGUUGUGGCUCUUUGAGGCCACCGUGGUUCCCACCGUAUACGGGGGUUAAGGGCAUGCGAAAAGGGGCUUUUCACCUCCGGAGUUUAUUAGGAUAGACCCCCUUUUAUUUCCCCUUUGGAAUCGGUUUCAACAACGGAGCAGAGGCUCUGGCGACGCGAAUCCAGGCUUAGGUAGGUCCCCUUUCCUCUCCCUCUUUAUAUUUUUUGUUAUAAAAAUAAAACUUUAAAAAAAAAGAAAAAGAAAAAGGAAAUAUAAAAGUAAGGAAAACAGAAAGAUAUAUGAAAAAACGAGAUUGAACCUUUGUUUUCUUUGCUUUUGAUUGCUUAAAAUUGUGUGUUACAAUAUUUUUUUGCGUUUGUGGCUAUAUAGCCAAAUACCAAUGCUUUUUGUCUAUUCCUUCCACUAUUUGGUACGUUUCUGCUUUUUUGCUUUCUUUUUGUUUCUGUUUUUGCAGGUUUAGAGGGUCAACGAGGCAAAAACUUGCCGUUUUGGUGCAAACGGCAUCAGGGGAGCCGUCCUCGGGCGUUGGAUGUGCCGACGACGCACAUGGGAAGGGUACGGCGCUGAAAGAGAUUAGGGUUUCAAAAUUGGCUUAGGUUUUAAGCCUAUUGGGCCAUCAAAAUAUUGGGCUUGUAUUUGGGUUAAAACUUUUUGUAAGUGGGUUGCUUAUAUUUUUUGGGUUUUUAUUUUAACGAACAGGGCAAAAUUGAGCCCGUACAGAGAAUAUGCCUCAAAGCUUCCAAAAAAUCUAUUUUUCCAACAUUAAAUACUCAUGGUAGAUCUCGAACCUAUGUACUCAUGACUUUCAACUUCCACAUUAAACAAGUAAAUUAUUAAAGAUGGCAAUUCAGAUUACAGAUUUAGAUAUCUGAUCUAAAAUUUAAGAAUCCGAAUAAUAUUCAGACUCAGAUGUUAAAAUUACUAUCCGUUGCGGAUUUGGAUAGACCCCCUCGAAUAUCCAUUAUCAAAGCCAACCUUCAAC
This 1079-nucleotide long non-coding RNA is filed under the name Gossypium barbadense (sea-island cotton). RNAcentral describes it as "long non-coding RNA (GBAR_LNC007755)". The record is from RNAcentral. Lineage: Eukaryota; Viridiplantae; Streptophyta; Magnoliopsida; Malvales; Malvaceae.